Molecule: ribosomal RNA, 414 nt
Filed under: bacterium Ellin5049
Lineage: Bacteria; Pseudomonadati; Pseudomonadota; Alphaproteobacteria; Sphingomonadales; Sphingomonadaceae
Description: bacterial SSU rRNA
Rfam family: Bacterial small subunit ribosomal RNA
Source: RNAcentral
CGAACGCUGGCGGCAUGCCUAACACAUGCAAGUCGAACGAGACCUUCGGGUCUAGUGGCGCACGGGUGCGUAACGCGUGGGAAUCUGCCCUCUGGUACGGAAUAACUCAGGGAAACUUGAGCUAAUACCGUAUAAUGACUUCGGUCCAAAGAUUUAUCGCCUGAGGAUGAGCCCGCGUAGGAUUAGCUUGUUGGUGAGGUAAAGGCUCACCAAGGCGACGAUCCUUAGCUGGUCUGAGAGGAUGAUCAGCCACACUGGGACUGAGACACGGCCCAGACUCCUACGGGAGGCAGCAGUGGGGAAUAUUGGACAAUGGGCGAAAGCCUGAUCCAGCAAUGCCGCGUGAGUGAUGAAGGCCUUAGGGUUGUAAAGCUCUUUUACCCGGGAUGAUAAUGACAGUACCGGGAGAAUAAG